AUUUAAUCACAUUGAAAGGAAACAAAGAUUAUUUAACAAUAAAAACCACCCUCAACCAAAACCCAAGAAGAUUACAGGAUGGAUGGAAAUCUUAGGCAGAAACUAAACCUGGCUCGACUAGGCUCGACACUACACGUGGGCGUGGGCUACCAUUGCUUGGAUUAAGAUUUAUUACUUAAAAUUGCUAGAAAAACAUGGUUUUAGGUAAAGAAGAUGGUACAGGAAAGCACAAGACAGAAAAGGACUCACUAAGACCAGGACCAAAGGGCAUUGUCUUCAAUGGGGAAUACAAAAUUACAAGAACUUGUGGGCGGGUCGGAGUAAUCGACAUCUUCGAGCUUUGGGAAGAUGUAAGGGGGCAAUAGAUUCUUUCCCAAGUUAUCUUCUUCGUCUUGCGAUAAGUCG
RNAcentral lists this unclassified non-coding RNA (405 nucleotides) under Hevea brasiliensis (rubber tree). The record is from RNAcentral. Lineage: Eukaryota; Viridiplantae; Streptophyta; Magnoliopsida; Malpighiales; Euphorbiaceae.